This 253-nucleotide ribosomal RNA is filed under the name uncultured bacterium. RNAcentral's name for it is "partial 16S ribosomal RNA". It matches the Rfam family "Bacterial small subunit ribosomal RNA", at positions 524 to 776 of the family's 1533-position model. The record is from RNAcentral.
UACGUAGGGUGCAAGCGUUGUCCGGAAUUAUUGGGCGUAAAGAGCUCGUAGGCGGUCUGUCGCGUCUGCUGUGAAAACUCAGGGCUUAACCCUGAGCUUGCAGUGGGUACGGGCAGACUAGAGUGCGGUAGGGGAGACUGGAAUUCCUGGUGUAGCGGUGGAAUGCGCAGAUAUCAGGAGGAACACCGAUGGCGAAGGCAGAUCUCUGGGCCGUAACUGACGCUGAGGAGCGAAAGCGUGGGGAGCGAACAGG